AGUGAACGCUGGCGGUAGGCCUAACACAUGCAAGUCGAACGGCAGCACAGUAAGAGCUUGCUCUUACGGGUGGCGAGUGGCGGACGGGUGAGGAAUACAUCGGAAUCUACUUUUUCGUGGGGGAUAACGUAGGGAAACUUACGCUAAUACCGCAUACGACCUACGGGUGAAAGCAGGGGAUCUUCGGACCUUGUGCGAUUGAAUGAGCCGAUGUCGGAUUAGCUAGUUGGCGGGGUAAAGGCCCACCAAGGCGACGAUCCGUAGCUGGUCUGAGAGGAUGAUCAGCCACACUGGAACUGAGACACGGUCCAGACUCCUACGGGAGGCAGCAGUGGGGAAUAUUGGACAAUGGGCGCAAGCCUGCUCCAGCCAUACCGCGUGGGUGAAGAAGGCCUUCGGGUUGUAAAGCCCUUUUGUUGGGAAAGAAAAGCAGCAGGUUAAUACCCCGCUGUUCUGACGGUACCCAAAGAAUAAGCACCGGCUAACUUCGUG
Molecule: ribosomal RNA, 492 nt
Filed under: uncultured bacterium
Lineage: Bacteria
Description: partial 16S ribosomal RNA
Rfam family: Bacterial small subunit ribosomal RNA
Source: RNAcentral